RNAcentral lists this ribosomal RNA (668 nucleotides) under uncultured fungus. RNAcentral describes it as "eukaryotic LSU rRNA". It matches the Rfam family "Eukaryotic large subunit ribosomal RNA", at positions 24 to 664 of the family's 3401-position model. Lineage: Eukaryota; Fungi. The record is from RNAcentral.
CCCGCUGAACUUAAGCAUAUCAAUAAGCGGAGGAAAAGAAACUAACAAGGAUUCCCCUAGUAACUGCGAGUGAAGCGGGAAAAGCUCAAAUUUAAAAUCUGGUGGUCUUUGGCCAUCCGAGUUGUAAUUUAGAGAAGCGUCUUCCGCGCUGGACCAUGCACAAGUCUCCUGGAAUGGAGCGUCAUAGAGGGUGAGAAUCCCGUCUUUGGCAUGGACACACCAGGGCUUCUGUGAUGCGCUCUCGAAGAGUCGAGUUGUUUGGGAAUGCAGCUCAAAAUGGGUGGUGAACUCCAUCUAAAGCUAAAUAUUGGCGAGAGACCGAUAGCGAACAAGUACCGUAAGGGAAAGAUGAAAAGCACUUUGGAAAGAGAGUGAAACAGUACGUGAAAUUGUUGAAAGGGAAACGCUUGAAGUCAGUCGCGUCGGCCGAGACUCAGCCUUGCCUCGGCUUGGUGUAUUUCUUGGCCCGACGGGUCAGCAUCAAUUUUGCCCCUUGGAUAAUGGCUAGGGAAAUGUGACACCUUUAUAGGUGUGUUAUAGUCUCUCGUCGCGUGCAAGGGUCAGGAUUGAGGAACUCAGCAUGCACCUUCGGGUGUCGGGGCUUUUGUCCACGAUACAUGCUUAGGAUGUUGGCGUAAUGGCUUUAAACGACCCGUCUUGAAACACGG